UUAAUUGAAGCCAAAAAGAGGCUUAUCACUGUUAAUGAUAGAACUGAGAAUGAUCUCCAAUUAAG
This 65-nucleotide transfer RNA is filed under the name Bactrocera dorsalis (oriental fruit fly). RNAcentral describes it as "tRNA-Asn". The record is from RNAcentral. Lineage: Eukaryota; Metazoa; Arthropoda; Insecta; Diptera; Tephritidae. RNAcentral also lists the same sequence under 1 other name.